Long non-coding RNA from Symsagittifera roscoffensis, 616 nucleotides. RefSeq lists it as uncharacterized. The transcript has 4 exons. The record is from RefSeq and is a predicted model, not a curated record. NCBI's taxonomy places the organism in Eukaryota, Metazoa, Xenacoelomorpha, Acoela, Convolutidae.
AUAUUUAUGUAUCUUUUUUCAGUUGGAUUUCUUAGAAUGUCAACCGAAGGGCCUCUACCGGUAUCCAAGACUGCCGAACCCCGAAAAUAUCCAAUAGUAAUUCAAGUUGAACACUGCACUGGGUGAGGAUAUGGUGCCCGAUUCAGGGACUUCAAACACUCCCUGCUAAGAAAAUUGGGCGCUAAAGGUGUCUACAAAUUCGUCGGACAUAGUGGACGAUCGGGCACCUUCGAAGUUUUUGUGGACAACAAUUUGGUGUUCUCCAAACUGGCUAGCAGGAAGUUCCCAGAAAUCAAUGCUUUGGUGAAAUCUAUUAUGUUCUACGCGGAAACCGGAACCCUGCAUCGUGUGACUGAAACAGAGCCGAAUGCGCCUUGCCUGGUCAUGUAAAUUAAGAAACCCCAUUUGUAAAUCAACCUCGAUUCAUAUCAAAAUAAUGCAACAAUGUCUACUUAGUCCAGUGUCGAACUGCAAUUUACAGCGAAUGACGGCGUCACAAGUAACCAACGCAUUGUGCUAGGUUUGUAAUGCCUGAAGAUUAUGUAAAUUCAUUUCGUCUGUUUUAAGUGAAAUUUUGCAGUUAGAUUAAUUUAAUUCAAAUAUUUAGGUUAUUUUU